RNAcentral lists this ribosomal RNA (496 nucleotides) under uncultured bacterium. RNAcentral describes it as "bacterial SSU rRNA". It matches the Rfam family "Bacterial small subunit ribosomal RNA", at positions 28 to 524 of the family's 1533-position model. The record is from RNAcentral.
GACGAACGCUGGCGGCGUGCCUAACACAUGCAAGUCGAGCGAAGUGCUUUAAGCGGAAUCUUCGGAGGAAGCUUAAAGUAUCUUAGCGGCGGACGGGUGAGUAAUGCGUGAGGAACCUGCCUUUCACAAGGGGAUAGCCUCGGGAAACUGGGAUUAAUACCCUAUGACACCUAAGUAUCGCAUGAUACUUAGGUUAAAGCGCAAAGCGGUGGAAGAUGGCCUCACGUCCCAUUAGCUAGUUGGUGAGGUAAAGGCUCACCAAGGCAACGAUGGGUAGCCGGCCUGAGAGGGUGACCGGCCACACUGGAACUGAGACACGGUCCAGACUCCUACGGGAGGCAGCAGUGGGGAAUAUUGCACAAUGGGCGAAAGCCUGAUGCAGCGACGCCGCGUGAGCGAAGAAGGCCUUCGGGUCGUAAAGCUCUGUCCUAUGGGACGAUAAUGAGGUACCAUAGGAGGAAGCCCCGGCUAACUACGUGCCAGCAGCCGCGGUAAG